This 450-nucleotide ribosomal RNA is filed under the name uncultured bacterium. RNAcentral describes it as "partial 16S ribosomal RNA". It matches the Rfam family "Bacterial small subunit ribosomal RNA", at positions 354 to 796 of the family's 1533-position model. The record is from RNAcentral.
GUGGGGAAUUUUGGACAAUGGGCGCAAGCCUGAUCCAGCAAUGCCGCGUGCAGGAAGAAGGCCUUCGGGUUGUAAACUGCUUUUGUACGGAACGAAACGGCUCUGGUUAAUACCCGGGGCUAAUGACGGUACCGUAAGAAUAAGCACCGGCUAACUACGUGCCAGCAGCCGCGGUAAUACGUAGGGUGCAAGCGUUAAUCGGAAUUACUGGGCGUAAAGCGUGCGCAGGCGGUUUUGUAAGACAGGCGUGCAAUCCCCGGGCUCAACCUGGGAAUGGCGCUUGUGACUGCAAAGCGGGAGUGCUGCAGAGGGGGAUGGAAUUCCGCGUGUAGCAGUGAGAUGCGUAGAUAUGCGGAGGAACACCGAUGGCGAAGGCAAUCCCCUGGGCCUGCACUGACGCUCAUGCACGAAAGCGUGGGGAGCAAACAGGAUUAGAAACCCCGGUAGUCC